This 409-nucleotide ribosomal RNA is filed under the name bacterium 14WB. RNAcentral describes it as "bacterial SSU rRNA". It matches the Rfam family "Bacterial small subunit ribosomal RNA", at positions 56 to 513 of the family's 1533-position model. The record is from RNAcentral.
UGCAGUCGACGAACUCUUCGGAGUUAGUGGCGCACGGGUGCGUAACGCGUGGGAAUCUGCCCUUGGGUACGGAAUAACUCAGAGAAAUUUGUGCUAAUACCGUAUAAUGUCUUCGGACCAAAGAUUUAUCGCCCAAGGAUGAGCCCGCGUAAGAUUAGCUAGUUGGUGGGGUAAAAGCCUACCAAGGCGACGAUCUUUAGCUGGUCUGAGAGGAUGAUCAGCCACACUGGGACUGAGACACGGCCCAGACUCCUACGGGAGGCAGCAGUGGGGAAUAUUGGACAAUGGGCGAAAGCCUGAUCCAGCAAUGCCGCGUGAGUGAUGAAGGCCUUAGGGUUGUAAAGCUCUUUUACCCGGGAUGAUAAUGACAGUACCGGGAGAAUAAGCUCCGGCUAACUCCGUGCCAGCA